Molecule: ribosomal RNA, 1343 nt
Filed under: uncultured bacterium
Lineage: Bacteria
Description: 16S ribosomal RNA
Rfam family: Bacterial small subunit ribosomal RNA
Source: RNAcentral
GACGAACGCUGGCGGCGUGCUUAACACAUGCAAGUCGAACGGAAAGGCCCUGCUUUUGUGGGGUGCUCGAGUGGCGAACGGGUGAGUAACACGUGAGUAACCUGCCCUUGACUUUGGGAUAACUUCAGGAAACUGGGGCUAAUACCGGAUAGGAGCUCCUGCUGCAUGGUGGGGGUUGGAAAGUUUCGGCGGUUGGGGAUGGACUCGCGGCUUAUCAGCUUGUUGGUGGGGUAGUGGCUUACCAAGGCUUUGACGGGUAGCCGGCCUGAGAGGGUGACCGGCCACAUUGGGACUGAGAUACGGCCCAGACUCCUACGGGAGGCAGCAGUGGGGAAUAUUGCACAAUGGGCGGAAGCCUGAUGCAGCAACGCCGCGUGCGGGAUGACGGCCUUCGGGUUGUAAACCGCUUUCGCCUGUGACGAAGCGUGAGUGACGGUAAUGGGUAAAGAAGCACCGGCUAACUACGUGCCAGCAGCCGCGGUGAUACGUAGGGUGCGAGCGUUGUCCGGAUUUAUUGGGCGUAAAGGGCUCGUAGGUGGUUGAUCGCGUCGGAAGUGUAAUCUUGGGGCUUAACCCUGAGCGUGCUUUCGAUACGGGUUGACUUGAGGAAGGUAGGGGAGAAUGGAAUUCCUGGUGGAGCGGUGGAAUGCGCAGAUAUCAGGAGGAACACCAGUGGCGAAGGCGGUUCUCUGGGCCUUUCCUGACGCUGAGGAGCGAAAGCGUGGGGAGCGAACGGGCUUAGAUACCCUGGUAGUCCACGCUGUAAACGGUGGGUACUAGGUGUGGGGUCCAUUCCACGGGUUCCGUGCCGUAGCUAACGCUUUAAGUACCCCGCCUGGGGAGUACGGCCGCAAGGCUAAAACUCAAAGGAAUUGACGGGGCCCCGCACAAGCGGCGGAGCAUGCGGAUUAAUUCGAUGCAACGCGUAGAACCUUACCUGGGUUUGACAUGGAUCGGGAGUGCUCAGAGAUGGGUGUGCCUCUUUUGGGGUCGGUUCACAGGUGGUGCAUGGCUGUCGUCAGCUCGUGUCGUGAGAUGUUGGGUUAAGUCCCGCAACGAGCGCAACCCUUGUUCACUGUUGCCAGCACGUUAUGGUGGGGACUCAGUGGAGACCGCCGGGGUCAACUCGGAGGAAGGUGGGGAUGACGUCAAGUCAUCAUGCUCCUUAUGUCCAGGGCUUCACGCAUGCUACAAUGGCUGGUACAGAGAGUGGCGAGCCUGUGAGGGUGAGCGAAUCUCGGAAAGCCGGUCUCAGUUCGGAUUGGGGUCUGCAACUCGACCUCAUGAAGUCGGAGUCGCUAGUAAUCGCAGAUCAGCAACGCUGCGGUGAAUACGUUCCCGGG